CAGUCGCCGCGGGAAUACAGAGGGUGCGAGCGUUAAUCGGAUUUACUGGGCGUAAAGCGUGCGUAGGCGGCUUCUUAAGUCGGAUGUGAAAUCCCUGAGCUUAACUUAGGAAUUGCAUUCGAUACUGGGAAGCUAGAGUAUGGUAGAGGAUGGUAGAAUUCCAGGUGUAGCGGUGAAAUGCGUAGAGAUCUGGAGGAAUACCGAUGGCGAAGGCAGCCAUCUGGCCUAAUACUGACGCUGAGGUACGAAAGCAUGGGGAGCAAACAGGAUUAGAUACCCCUGUAGUCCCUGUCUCUUAUAC
Molecule: ribosomal RNA, 301 nt
Filed under: uncultured bacterium
Lineage: Bacteria
Description: partial 16S ribosomal RNA
Rfam family: Bacterial small subunit ribosomal RNA
Source: RNAcentral